RNAcentral lists this ribosomal RNA (250 nucleotides) under uncultured prokaryote. RNAcentral's name for it is "partial 16S ribosomal RNA". It matches the Rfam family "Bacterial small subunit ribosomal RNA", at positions 524 to 773 of the family's 1533-position model. The record is from RNAcentral.
UACGUAGGGGGCAAGCGUUAUCCGGAUUUACUGGGUGUAAAGGGAGCGUAGGUGGUGCGGUAAGUCAGAUGUGAAAGCCCGGGGCUCAACCCCGGGACUGCAUUUGAAACUAUCGUGCUAGAGUGCAGGAGAGGUAAGUGGAAUUCCUAGUGUAGCGGUGAAAUGCGUAGAUAUUAGGAGGAACACCAGUGGCGAAGGCGGCUUACUGGACUGUAACUGACACUGAGGCUCGAAAGCGUGGGGAGCAAAC